RNAcentral lists this ribosomal RNA (468 nucleotides) under uncultured bacterium. Its description in RNAcentral is "partial 16S ribosomal RNA". It matches the Rfam family "Bacterial small subunit ribosomal RNA", at positions 28 to 507 of the family's 1533-position model. The record is from RNAcentral.
GACGAACGCUGGCGGCGUGCUUAACACAUGCAAGUCGAACGGAAAGGCCCUGCUUUUGUGGGGUGCUCGAGUGGCGAACGGGUGAGUAACACGUGUGUAACACGCACUUGACUUUGGGAUAACUCUAGGAAACUGGGUCUAUUACCGGAUAGGAGCUCUUGAUGCACGGUGGGGAUUGGAAAGUUUCGGCGGUUUUGUCUGGACUCGCGGGUAAUGAGCUUGUUUGUGUGGUAGUGGCUUACAAAGGCUUUCAAGGCUAGCCGGCCUGGGAGGGUGACCGGCGACAUUGGGACUGAGGUACGGCGCAGAAGGGUACGUGAGGCAGCAGUGGAGAAUAUUGCACAGUGGGCGGAAGCCUGAGGCAGCAACGCCGCGUGCGGGAAGACGGCCUUCGGGUUGUAAACCGCUUUCGCCUGUGACGAGGCGUGAGUGACGGUAAUGGGUAAAGAAGCACCGGCUAACUACGUG